Molecule: ribosomal RNA, 225 nt
Filed under: uncultured bacterium
Lineage: Bacteria
Description: partial 16S ribosomal RNA
Rfam family: Bacterial small subunit ribosomal RNA
Source: RNAcentral
UACAGAGGGGCAAGCGUUAUUCGGAAUUAUUGGGCGUAAAGGGCGCGUAGGCGGUCGGACAAGUGGAAGGUGAAAUCCCCGGGCUUAACCUGGGAACUGCCCUCCAAACUGUUUGACUUGAGUCCGGGAGAGGUGAGUGGAAUUCCCAGUGUAGCGGUGAAAUUCGUAGAUAUUCGCAAGAACACCAGUGGCGAAGGCGGCUCACUGGCCCGAUACUGACGCUGA